AAUUUCAACUAAAAAAGUCAUCAACAACAAAGUUGUAUAACUCACCAAGAUCUAUAACUUUUAUGUUUGUCAUUUCUUCAUCUGACAAAGUGAUAGUAACAUUGUUCACAAAAUUUACAUAUAUGUGUUAUAGUUUAUAAAACCAGAUGAGAGAGAUGUGAAUUUUGUGAACAAUAUUAUUAUCACUUUGCCGGAUGAAGAAAUGGCCAAAAUAAAAGUUAUAGAACUUGAUGAGUUAUACAACUUUGUUGGUGAUGACUUUUUCAGUUGAAAUC
Molecule: non-coding RNA, 275 nt
Organism: Oryza barthii
Lineage: Eukaryota; Viridiplantae; Streptophyta; Magnoliopsida; Poales; Poaceae
Source: Rfam